UGGGGAAUUUUGGACAAUGGGGGCAACCCUGAUCCAGCCAUGCCGCGUGAGUGAAGAAGGCCUUCGGGUUGUAAAGCUCUUUCGGCGGGGAAGAAAUGGCAACGGCUAAUAUCCGUUGUUGAUGACGGUACCCGCAUAAGAAGCACCGGCUAACUACGUGC
This 161-nucleotide ribosomal RNA is filed under the name uncultured bacterium. RNAcentral describes it as "partial 16S ribosomal RNA". It matches the Rfam family "Bacterial small subunit ribosomal RNA", at positions 355 to 508 of the family's 1533-position model. The record is from RNAcentral.